CAGCAGCCACGGUAAUACGGAGGGCGCGAGCGUUACCCGGAUUUACUGGGCGUAAAGGGCGUGUAGGCGGCCUGGGGCGUCCCAUGUGAAAGGCCACGGCUCAACCGUGGAGGAGCGUGGGAUACGCUCAGGCUAGAGGGUGGGAGAGGGUGGUGGAAUUCCCGGAGUAGCGGUGAAAUGCGCAGAUACCGGGAGGAACGCCGAUGGCGAAGGCAGCCACCUGGUCCACUUCUGACGCUGAGGCGCGAAAGCGUGGGGAGCAAGCAGGAUUAGAUACCCCAGUAGUCCCUGUCUCUUAUAC
RNAcentral lists this ribosomal RNA (301 nucleotides) under uncultured bacterium. RNAcentral's name for it is "partial 16S ribosomal RNA". It matches the Rfam family "Bacterial small subunit ribosomal RNA", at positions 509 to 807 of the family's 1533-position model. The record is from RNAcentral.